UCGAGUUAGGGUUGUCCCAACAGCCCAACCUCCCAACCCUGUGUCUACUGUACCUUGUCGUUGCUUCGGCGGACCGGUUAACCACCUGGUCUUGACCGCCGGGGACCCGUGCCCUGGAGAGCGUCCGCCGAUGGCCCAACCACAAAAACUCUUAUACCGAACAUUGUCGUCUGAAUGCCUUUGAUUUAUCAAUCAAAAAAAC
RNAcentral lists this unclassified non-coding RNA (202 nucleotides) under uncultured fungus. Its description in RNAcentral is "sequence contains ITS1". Lineage: Eukaryota; Fungi. The record is from RNAcentral.